GACGAACGCUGGUGGCGUGCUUAACACAUGCAAGUCGAACGGAAAGGCCCUGCUUUUGUGGGGUGCUCGAGUGGCGAACGGGUGAGUAACACGUGAGUAACCUGCCCUUGACUUUGGGAUAACUUCAGGAAACUGGGGCUAAUACCGGAUAGGAGCUCCUGCUGCAUGGUGGGGGUUGGAAAGUUUCGGCGGUUGGGGAUGGACUCGCGGCUUAUCAGCUUGUUGGUGGGGUAGUGGCUUACCAAGGCUUUGACGGGUAGCCGGCCUGAGAGGGUGACCGGCCACAUUGGGACUGAGAUACGGCCCAGACUCCUACGGGAGGCAGCAGUGGGGAAUAUUGCACAAUGGGCGGAAGCCUGAUGCAGCAACGCCGCGUGCGGGAUGACGGCCUUCGGGUUGUAAACCGCUUUCGCCUGUGACGAAGCGUGAGUGACGGUAAUGGGUAAAGAAGCACCGGCUAACUACGUGCCAGCAGCCGCGGUGAUACGUAGGGUGCGAGCGUUGUCCGGAUUUAUUGGGCGUAAAGGGCUCGUAGGUGGUUGAUCGCGUCGGAAGUGUAAUCUUGGGGCUUAACCCUGAGCGUGCUUUCGAUACGGGUUGACUUGAGGAAGGUAGGGGAGAAUGGAAUUCCUGGUGGAGCGGUGGAAUGCGCAGAUAUCAGGAGGAACACCAGUGGCGAAGGCGGUUCUCUGGGCCUUUCCUGACGCUGAGGAGCGAAAGCGUGGGGAGCGAACAGGCUUAGAUACCCUGGUAGUCCACGCUGUAAACGGUGGGUACUAGGUGUGGGGUCCAUUCCACGGGUUCCGUGCCGUAGCUAACGCUUUAAGUACCCCGCCUGGGGAGUACGGCCGCAAGGCUAAAACUCAAAGGAAUUGACGGGGCCCCGCACAAGCGGCGGAGCAUGCGGAUUAAUUCGAUGCAACGCGUAGAACCUUACCUGGGUUUGACAUGGAUCGGGAGCGCUCAGAGAUGGGUGUGCCUCUUUUGGGGUCGGUUCACAGGUGGUGCAUGGCUGUCGUCAGCUCGUGUCGUGAGAUGUUGGGUUAAGUCCCGCAACGAGCGCAACCCUUGUUCACUGUUGCCAGCACGUUAUGGUGGGGACUCAGUGGAGACCGCCGGGGUCAACUCGGAGGAAGGUGGGGAUGACGUCAAGUCAUCAUGCCCCUUAUGUCCAGGGCUUCACGCAUGCUACAAUGGCUGGUACAGAGAGUGGCGAGCCUGUGAGGGUGAGCGAAUCUCGGAAAGCCGGUCUCAGUUCGGAUUGGGGUCUGCAACUCGACCUCAUGAAGUCGGAGUCGCUAGUAAUCGCAGAUCAGCAACGCUGCGGUGAAUACGUUCCCGGG
RNAcentral lists this ribosomal RNA (1343 nucleotides) under uncultured bacterium. RNAcentral describes it as "16S ribosomal RNA". It matches the Rfam family "Bacterial small subunit ribosomal RNA", at positions 28 to 1378 of the family's 1533-position model. The record is from RNAcentral.